GUUAACACGCGUACGCCUGUUUUUCAGUUGGUACGUUUUAACAAUGUGUAUCGGAUUAUAGUAGACAAAAAUACCCUCAUUUAUCAUGGAUUCUAAAUUUUAAGGUCAAGGAUAUUUAAAUAAUUUUCAUUCUCAAAACUAAAAAAAAAAAAAAGAAACCCCCAAACCCUUACUCACCUCCCUCAUUCCUCUCAACCCUUUCUCUUUUAUCUCUCCACUCCAACAUUUUCUCUGUCAUCU
Molecule: long non-coding RNA, 240 nt
Filed under: Vigna radiata
Lineage: Eukaryota; Viridiplantae; Streptophyta; Magnoliopsida; Fabales; Fabaceae
Description: long non-coding RNA (VRAD_LNC014471)
Source: RNAcentral